Molecule: ribosomal RNA, 408 nt
Filed under: uncultured bacterium
Lineage: Bacteria
Description: partial 16S ribosomal RNA
Rfam family: Bacterial small subunit ribosomal RNA
Source: RNAcentral
AGUGAACGCUGGCGGCGUGCAUAAUACAUGCAAGUCGAACGGAGUAGCGCACGGGUGAGUAAUGUAUAGCUAAUCUGCCCUACACUAGAGGCCAACAGUUGGAAACGGCUGCUAAUACUCUAUAGUGUAGGAUGAGGCUAUAUUGUAUCAGCUAGUUGGUGAGGUAAUGGCUCACCAAGGCUAUGAUGCGUAACUGGUCUGAGAGGAUGUUCAGUGACACUGGAACUGAGACACGGUCCAGACACCUACAGGAUGCAGCAGUAGGGAAUAUUGCUCAAUGGGGGAAACCCUGAAGCGGCAACGCCGCGUGGAGGAUGACACUUUUCGGAGCGUAAACUCCUUUUGUUAGGGAAGCGGUACCUAACGAAUAAGGCACGGCUAACUACGUGCCAGCCGCCGCGGUAAUAC